RNAcentral lists this ribosomal RNA (492 nucleotides) under uncultured bacterium. Its description in RNAcentral is "partial 16S ribosomal RNA". It matches the Rfam family "Bacterial small subunit ribosomal RNA", at positions 29 to 507 of the family's 1533-position model. The record is from RNAcentral.
AGUGAACGCUGGCGGUAGGCCUAACACAUGCAAGUCGAACGGCAGCACAGUAAGAGCUUGCUCUUACGGGUGGCGAGUGGCGGACGGGUGAGGAAUACAUCGGAAUCUACUUUUUCGUGGGGGAUAACGUAGGGAAACUUACGCUAAUACCGCAUACGACCUACGGGUGAAAGCAGGGGAUCUUCGGACCUUGCGCGAUUGAAUGAGCCGAUGUCGGAUUAGCUAGUUGGCGGGGUAAAGGCCCACCAAGGCGACGAACCGUAGCUGGUCUGAGAGGAUGAUCAGCCACACUGGAACUGAGACACGGUCCAGACUCCUACGGGAGGCAGCAGUGGGGAAUAUUGGACAAUGGGCGCAAGCCUGAUCCAGCCAUACCGCGUGGGUGAAGAAGGCCUUCGGGUUGUAAAGCCCUUUUGUUGGAAAAGAAAAGCAGCAGGUUAAUACCCCGCUGUUCUGACGGUACCCAAAGAAUAAGCACCGGCUAACUUCGUG